GUACUACUCCCUCCGUUUGAAAUUACUUGUCACAGAAAUGAAUGUAUUUAGACGUAUUUUAGUUCUAGAUACAUCCAUUUUUGAGACAAGCAAUUCCGAACGGAGGGACUACUAG
This is a non-coding RNA of Triticum aestivum (bread wheat), 115 nucleotides long. NCBI's taxonomy places the organism in Eukaryota, Viridiplantae, Streptophyta, Magnoliopsida, Poales, Poaceae. The record is from Rfam.